RNAcentral lists this ribosomal RNA (650 nucleotides) under Stenotrophomonas sp. DB1. Its description in RNAcentral is "bacterial SSU rRNA". It matches the Rfam family "Bacterial small subunit ribosomal RNA", at positions 49 to 686 of the family's 1533-position model. Lineage: Bacteria; Pseudomonadati; Pseudomonadota; Gammaproteobacteria; Lysobacterales; Lysobacteraceae. The record is from RNAcentral.
UAACACAUGCAAGUCGAACGGCAGCACAGUAAGAGCUUGCUCUUACGGGUGGCGAGUGGCGGACGGGUGAGGAAUGCAUCGGAAUCUACUCUGUCGUGGGGGAUAACGUAGGGAAACUUACGCUAAUACCGCAUACGACCUACGGGUGAAAGCAGGGGAUCUUCGGACCUUGCGCGAUUGAAUGAGCCGAUGCCCGAUUAGCUAGUUGGCGGGGUAAGAGCCCACCAAGGCGACGAUCGGUAGCUGGUCUGAGAGGAUGAUCAGCCACACUGGAACUGAGACACGGUCCAGACUCCUACGGGAGGCAGCAGUGGGGAAUAUUGGACAAUGGGCGCAAGCCUGAUCCAGCCAUACCGCGUGGGUGAAGAAGGCCUUCGGGUUGUAAAGCCCUUUUGUUGGGAAAGAAAAGCAGUCGGUUAAUACCCGAUUGUUCUGACGGUACCCAAAGAAUAAGCACCGGCUAACUUCGUGCCAGCAGCCGCGGUAAUACGAAGGGUGCAAGCGUUACUCGGAAUUACUGGGCGUAAAGCGUGCGUAGGUGGUUGUUUAAGUCUGUCGUGAAAGCCCUGGGCUCAACCUGGGAAUUGCUAUGGAAACUGGGCGACUAGAGUGUGGCAGAGGGUAGUGGAAUUCCUGGUGUAGCAGUGAAA